RNAcentral lists this ribosomal RNA (301 nucleotides) under uncultured bacterium. RNAcentral's name for it is "partial 16S ribosomal RNA". It matches the Rfam family "Bacterial small subunit ribosomal RNA", at positions 509 to 809 of the family's 1533-position model. The record is from RNAcentral.
CAGUAGCCGCGGGAAAACAGAGGGUGCAAGCGUUAAUCGGAUUUACUGGGCGUAAAGGGCGCGUAGGUGGUUAUGUAAGUGAGAUGUGAAAUCCCCGGGCUCAACCUGGGAACUGCAUCUUAUACUGCGUAGCUGGAGUGCAGUAGAGGGUAGUGGAAUUUCCGGUGUAGCGGUGAAAUGCGUAGAUAUCGGAAGGAACACCAGUGGCGAAGGCGGCUACCUGGACUGACACUGACACUGAGGCGCGAAAGCGUGGGGAGCAAACAGGAUUAGAUACCCGAGUAGUCCCUGUCUCUUAUAA